GUUUAAUUGGAUUUAGGGAAUCGCUUUGGGGGCAUGUGACCCUGCAUACAAACUUCCCUCCCUCCACAAAAGGUUAUGAAAAGACAGAACUACCCUUCUUGCCCUGCUGUAUUGGGACACAGUAAACAGACAUUGGCAGCAGCAUGGCUAUGAAAAGAAGUGUUGUUGGUAGGUGCAUCCAUUUUCAUGUUGUCACAAAGCCCAGACUCUAAUGGGAACAAAUGUGGUAUUAUAAUG
This 237-nucleotide long non-coding RNA is filed under the name Glycine max (soybean). RNAcentral's name for it is "long non-coding RNA (GMAX_LNC001735)". The record is from RNAcentral. Lineage: Eukaryota; Viridiplantae; Streptophyta; Magnoliopsida; Fabales; Fabaceae.